Molecule: long non-coding RNA, 3202 nt
Organism: Setaria italica (foxtail millet)
Lineage: Eukaryota; Viridiplantae; Streptophyta; Magnoliopsida; Poales; Poaceae
Exons: 8
Source: RefSeq, a predicted model, not a curated record
AGUUGUGCGCCACAGUCUCGAGUACUGUGGGCACUAUCCGAGUAGUUCGUCGUAAACGUUGCAGUGUCCGGAGUGCUCGAGUAUUGUCGCGUGGCUGGAAGGUACUCUUCUUGCUCCUUCGAUUUGCUUCUUAUUCCAAGGAUUUUAUAUGGUAGUGCGAUGACAAUCGCAUUCGAUAUGGAGUAGCCCCCGAGCCUUAGGUUGAGUCCAAGAGUCAGGCUUAGGGUCAAUCUUGCUUCUUGGCUGUUUUACUCUUGGUAAUCUGAAAAAGAAAAUUCUGACCAUCGGUACAGUACCCGCAGCCUCUGAGCACUUAGGUGAUUUUUGUCGUUGAAGUGGUCAAAACCCAUUGAUGGGAGUAGCCGUUGAGUGUUUAUGGAAUUAAAUCUUUUUAAAACCUUUCCGUUGCGUAACUGACGCUUGGAAUCCGAGGGCGACGGAGAUAUAACCGGAGGGGCCCCUUUCGGUUAGGUUUACACACCACUGUAACAGAUCUGCUUUUCUUCCUCCCCUGCUUUCCUGUUCCGCGUUUGCGUCGUCGCGAUUGUCUAGCACCGCCGCCGCCAUUGCUGCUCGUUUGAGAGAGAUCCAAGGUUAAGUGCAUUUUGCUGCGGUAGAAGCCGGCGGAUGUGCACCAAGAAUAUGGGGAAGAAACCCGAGAAGGCUCAGGGUAAGGCUCCAGCGACGGGCAAGGUGAAGUCAAAGAAGGGGAAGGAGCUAGUGUUGCUGGCGCUGAAGGUGGGGCCGACGAACCAAACUACACCGCUGCCGCCUGGAGCGACGUGGCAGCAUUCUGUGAUGAUGGAGGCGGCCAUUCAGGCGCUUGUCGACGCCAAGCUUCUGCAGCCAAGGGAGGUACUCGAGUGGAGGCCUGCCUUUGCUGACGCGUGGCAGUUCAAGAAACAUCCGAACGAGACGGUGAUGCUUGCACACUUUGUGGAGAUGGGGUUGGCAGUGCCCACCUCCGACUUCUUCAGAGGUAUCCUCAAGUACUACAAGCUUCAACUUGUACAUUUGAACCCCAAUGUGUACUGUAUAUGUCGAUUUUUGUGCACCUUUGUGAAGUUUACUUGGGAGUUCCUCAUAGCCUUGAACUGUUUAUGAAAUUAUUUCGCUGCAAGCCUCAACCUAGUGCACUUAGGACGGAGGUCUUUGGGGGUGUCGGGUUCCAACUCAGGAACUCGGGCGCGUAUAUUGACUAUAAUUUGACUGACUCCCAUGGGGAGUGGAAAAAGAGGUGGUUCUAUAUUGGGAACCAUAAUCCUCGCUUGCCGGUGGUUACUGGUCAUGCGCCAAAGCACGCGGAGAAUUGGGUGAGCGAGCCUGAAGAUACCCCAGAGCUCGACCAUUUGCUGCACCAGAUUUUCAAGUUGAAGGCACUCGGCUUGACUGGAGUUAAUGUGGCGGCCAGCUUUCUCAAGAGAAGAAUUCAGCCCUUGCAAAUACGGGCUCACUUGGGUGGGGAGUACUCGGGUUUUAAUGACCCGUCACGUAUGUCUCCGGAUGAUAUUUCUGAUGAUUAUGUUGAGGCACUGCUAGCCAAGUUCUUUAGGAACUAUCAAGGAGUACCAGUUAUUCCUUCAACUCUUCGUCAGUUUGAUGCUUGGUAUCAGCCAGAAAUGUCCCAAGUCCUUGCUGGCUAUCUGGCGCAGUCAGAAGAAGAAGAAUCUUUUGUUGAGGAGUCAGAGGAUGAGCCCUCUCCUCCUGUGAAGAAACGCCGAGUAGUCCGCAAGAGGUCUGCUGCUUAGUCUGCCUCGACUUCUCCUCCUAAGAAAUCUCAGGGUGCCAAGGCUGACGACGUGGCGCUUGGUGACGAUGAGGCUACUUCGGAUGAAGUGGUCGUGACCGCCCAGGGUGUUGACGUUGCGUCUGUUGAGAAGGUGCCAGAGGAGAUGCCGCCAGCAGAUGCUGGAGUAGCCCCCGAGCUGACAAUCCAGGCUCUGUCGGCUACGGUGCUGCCGGUCCCUGACCAGGCAGUCCUGGGUUUGCCUGCUCAGGGGCUGACAUUGCGAAGGGGGUAUCACCAGUAGUUUCUACUGGUUCUUUGUUAUCCAAUGUGAUCGCUAGUGGUCUUGGCAAGAAGACAGCGACAGAGGCUGCUCCCGCGGCGUCGAGUACUCGGCCGCCUGUUGCUGAGAAGAAGCGUGUGCGAUUGCCACCACGAUCAACUCGGGAUGCGGAGGAGACUAUCCCUGUAGAGGCAGGAGUAGAGUCGUGUCUCCCGACUACUCUUUCCGCUCCUUUGGAGGAUUGUCUGUCGAAGAAGUAACCGGAGUUGAUGCUAGUCGCCUUGGAGCUACCAUGUCUAUGCUUCAAGAAGUGAUCCGCUCGGUGGAAGAUCCCUCCGCUGCUUCGGGUUCUGGGAAUGUAUCCUUGUCGACGUCUACUAGCGGAGCUUUGGCUGUAGUGGAUGUGGAGAAAUCCAAGGAACCAGUUGCUCCAGGUACCGCCUUGGGUGCAGCUCCUGAUGUUGUGAAGAGUACUCGGGAUCCAGUACUCGAGCUUCCGUCUGAGUUGGAGUUCCAGAGAGCUAUCGAUGUUUUUCGAAGCUUCCAGGAUCUGUAUGACAGAACGCAAAGGAACACUCGGGCCCUUCAGGAGCGAAACGAGCAAUUGGAGCAGGAGUGUGCCCAGCUUACGGAAGCCCUGAGGGUUCAUGAAGAUGGAGCGAAAUCCUUUGCCAUUGAGCGGUUAGAUUAUGAAGUCUUGUAGCAGAAACUGAAGAGCCGCUACAAGUCUUUGAAUAAAAAGUAUCAAGAGCUCAAGAGGAAGGAGGCAACUGCGAGUAGCCAACUCCUUGACUAGAGAAACGCACAUGACCGAGUAGCGGAUGAGGCUAAAUAUCUUCGGGUUGCGCUGACGGAGGCAUAGGCUGCCUGCGAGCAUCAGCGGGACAGGAAGAUCCAGAAUGGAGUGAUGCUUGCUAUGGCCAUGGUGGCAUGCAGAGAUCACGCCCAAACCGUAGGAAGACUUUGAGGCGAGCUCCAAGAGUUAACUGAUGCUGCUCAAGACUUGGUGAAUGCUAUUGCCCUCUUGGAAGAGGACGCAGGACCGCGAUCAUUAGUCGAGUGCUUGAAGGCUGCUCCGGGUAAGGUGGCCGGCCUCUGCAAGGUUGUUUGCAAACAAGUUCUUGCUGUGGUCAAGUCAUACUACCCGAGGGCAGAUUUGUCAGCGGCUGGUGACAGCGUUGCUCGCAACUGCA